This 447-nucleotide ribosomal RNA is filed under the name Triticum aestivum (bread wheat). RNAcentral describes it as "partial small subunit ribosomal RNA". The record is from RNAcentral. Lineage: Eukaryota; Viridiplantae; Streptophyta; Magnoliopsida; Poales; Poaceae.
AUGCCGCUGGGCAAGUACUACUGCGACUACUGCGACAAGGAGUUCCAGGACACCGCCGCCGCCCGCAGGCGCCACCUCCAGGGCGCCCAGCACCACCGCGCCCGCGCCCUCUGGUACGACUCCGUCCGCCGCCAAGAGUCCCACGGCGGCGCAUCUCCCCUCCUCCAGCCCGACGGCGCUAUCCUCGGCCAGGGCGUCUGCAACCACUUCGUCCGCACGGGAACAUGCAAGUUUGGGGAUGCGUGCAGGUACUUCCAUCCGAAGCCACAUGCUGUGAACCCAGCAUUUGCUCCGUCUGGGCCUGUUCCAGGAGCAAUGGGGCAACAGUCUAAUUUUCUUGGAACUCAACCAAAUUUUGUUGGAUAUCAGGCGAUGGAAGGAAAUUCUUUCUCAGGGAACAUACUAAGGGGCCACACUUCUUGGGGCAACUUACCUCCAUCGCUAUAA